RNAcentral lists this ribosomal RNA (238 nucleotides) under Staphylococcus epidermidis. Its description in RNAcentral is "partial 23S ribosomal RNA". It matches the Rfam family "Bacterial large subunit ribosomal RNA", at positions 44 to 279 of the family's 2925-position model. The record is from RNAcentral. Lineage: Bacteria; Bacillati; Bacillota; Bacilli; Caryophanales; Staphylococcaceae.
AGCCGAUGAAGGACGUUACUAACGACGAUAUGCUUUGGGUAGCUGUAAGUAAGCGUUGAUCCAGAGAUUUCCGAAUGGGGGAACCCAGCAUGAGUUAUGUCAUGUUAUCGACAUGUGAAUUCAUAGCAUGUCAGAAGGCAGACCCGGAGAACUGAAACAUCUUAGUACCCGGAGGAAGAGAAAGAAAAAUCGAUUCCCUGAGUAGCGGCGAGCGAAACGGGAAGAGCCCAAACCAACA